This 516-nucleotide ribosomal RNA is filed under the name Ocellularia profunda. RNAcentral describes it as "eukaryotic LSU rRNA". It matches the Rfam family "Eukaryotic large subunit ribosomal RNA", at positions 135 to 665 of the family's 3401-position model. The record is from RNAcentral. Lineage: Eukaryota; Fungi; Ascomycota; Lecanoromycetes; Ostropales; Graphidaceae.
CGGUCGAGUUGUAAUUUGUAGAAGGUGCUUCGGGUGCGAUCGCGGCUCAAGUCCCUUGGAACAGGGCGUCCCAGAGGGUGAGAAUCCCGUACGCGGCCGACGAUCAAGCCCGUGUGAAGCCCUUUCGACGAGUCGAGUUGUUUGGGAAUGCAGCUCUAAAUGGGUGGUAAAUUUCAUCUAAAGCUAAAUAUCUGCCAAAGACCGAUAGCGCACAAGUAGAGUGAUCGAAAGAUGAAAAGAACUUUGAAAAGAGAGUUAAACAGUACGUGAAAUCGUUAAAAAGGAAGGGCUUGCAAACCAGACUCGCUCGCGGGUGUUCAGCCGUCCCUCGGGGCGGUGCAUUCUCCCGCGAUCGGGCCAGCAUCGGUUCUGGCGGCCGGACAAAGGCCUUGGGAACGUAGCUCCUUUCGGGGAGUGUUAUAGCCCGGGGUGCAAUGCGGCCAGCCGGGACCGAGGACCGCGCAUUCGCUAGGAUGCUGGCGUAAUGGUUGCUAGCCACCCGUCUUGAAACACGGA